GACGAACCGUGCGAACGUUAUUCGGAAUCACUGGGCUUAAAGCGCGUGUAGGCGGGUUCGUACGUCCGUCGCUGAAAUCCCCCGGCUCAACCGGGGAACGGGCGUGGAUACAGCGGACCUGGAGGGGCGUAGGGGGACCUGGAACUUCCGGUGGAGCGGUGAAAUGCGUUGAGAUCGGAAGGAACGCCCGUGGCGAAAGCGAGGUCCUGGACGCCUACUGACGCUGAGACGCGAAAGCCAGGGGAGCGAACGGG
RNAcentral lists this ribosomal RNA (254 nucleotides) under uncultured Singulisphaera sp. RNAcentral describes it as "partial 16S ribosomal RNA". It matches the Rfam family "Bacterial small subunit ribosomal RNA", at positions 524 to 776 of the family's 1533-position model. Lineage: Bacteria; Pseudomonadati; Planctomycetota; Planctomycetia; Isosphaerales; Isosphaeraceae. The record is from RNAcentral.